GAAUAUUGGACAAUGGGCGAAAGCCUGAUCCAGCCAUGCCGCGUGUGUGAAGAAGGUCUUCGGAUUGUAAAGCACUUUAAGUUGGGAGGAAGGGCAGUAAGUUAAUACCUUGCUGUUUUGACGUUACCGACAGAAUAAGCACCGGCCAACUCCGUGCCAGCCGCCGCGGUAAUCCGGAGGGUGCAAGCGUUAAUCGGAAUUACUGGGCGUAAAGGGCACGCAGGUGACUUGGCGAGUCGGGUGUGAAAGCCCUGGGCUUAACCUGGGAAUUGCAUUCGAUACUGCCGAGCUAGAGUAUGGGAGAGGAAAGUGGAAUUCCCGGUGUAGCGGUGAAAUGCGUAGAUAUCGGGAGGAACAUCAGUGGCGAAGGCGGCUUUCUGGCCCAAUACUGACACUCAUGAGCGAAAGCGUGGGGAGCAAACAGG
RNAcentral lists this ribosomal RNA (425 nucleotides) under uncultured bacterium. RNAcentral describes it as "bacterial SSU rRNA". It matches the Rfam family "Bacterial small subunit ribosomal RNA", at positions 359 to 776 of the family's 1533-position model. The record is from RNAcentral.